UACAGAGGGUGCGAGCGUUGUCCGGAAUCACUGGGCGUAAAGGGCGCGUAGGUGGCGCGACAAGUCAGUGGUGAAAGUUCGACGCUUAACGUCGAAUCGGCCACUGAUACUGUUGGGCUUGAGCACUGUAGAGGCUAAUGGAAUUCCGGGUGUAGCGGUGGAAUGCGUAGAGAUCCGGAAGAACACCAGUGGCGAAGGCGGUUAGCUGGGCAGUUGCUGACACUGAGGCGCGACAGCGUGGGGAGCAAACAGG
This 253-nucleotide ribosomal RNA is filed under the name uncultured bacterium. RNAcentral describes it as "partial 16S ribosomal RNA". It matches the Rfam family "Bacterial small subunit ribosomal RNA", at positions 524 to 776 of the family's 1533-position model. The record is from RNAcentral.